UUUUGAAGUUCCCAAUUUAACGCUAUCCCUACUUUGACAUGUUAUAUUCCAAAUGUAUUUAUUGAUACUGUGUACAUUUUUUGUCAUUUCUGAUGUCUUUAACAGUUGUUUUAUGUGUGUUUUUCAGGAUUACAUUUCUGUGCGGAAGGAUUAAAAAACUACACCAGACUGGUGGCCAUGACAGAUGUCAGUGGGAAAUUUAAACAUGGACUAGAUACUUUGAUGUGUAGCAAAAAAGUUCAUCGUUGAUGGUGGUGUUUUUCUGUGAUAUAUUGACUGGGAUAGUAUUACUCUUCAGAAAUACAGAGCUGUCAAUGCUGCAAUUUUGUUGUGAAAUUCACAAUCCAUGUCCAAAAGUGCUUGUUUUACUAUACAGCAAAGAAGGAGAAAUUGUACCGGGCCGACACCUAUAUGGCAAAUUCAGAAAGUGGAAUAUCUCAGCAACCAUAGGGUUUACAGUCCUGAAACUUCACACACUAGUAUCUGAUAACAAUACAAAUCAGUGGCUAAAAGGAUAUUUCCAAGGCGAUGAAUUCCAUAUGUCAGAAGGAAAUUUAGAAUCGUACAACCAGUCAGCAGCUACCCAUAAACCAGACCAACCUAUUAAGUCGAGCGGGCAGAAGCUGUGAUUCCCAGUGUAACACCGCAGAAUGACGGUUAGUUUUCGGAUUACAUUUCUGUGCGGAAGGAUUAAAAAACUACACCAGACUGGUGGCCAUGACAGAUGUCAGUGGGAAAUUUAAACAUGGACUAGAUACUUUGAUGUGUAGCAAAAAAGUUCAUCGUUGAUGGUGGUGUUUUUCUGUGAUAUAUUGACUGGGAUAGUAUUACUCUUCAGAAAUACAGAGCUGUCAAUGCUGCAAUUUUGUUGUGAAAUUCACAAUCCAUGUCCAAAAGUGCUUGUUUUACUAUACAGCAAAGAAGGAGAAAUUGUACCGGGCCGACACCAAA
Long non-coding RNA from Mercenaria mercenaria, 951 nucleotides. RefSeq lists it as uncharacterized. The transcript has 3 exons. NCBI's taxonomy places the organism in Eukaryota, Metazoa, Mollusca, Bivalvia, Venerida, Veneridae. The record is from RefSeq and is a predicted model, not a curated record.